CGCAAGUUGCGCCCGAAGCCAUUAGGUCGAGGGCACGUCUGCCUGGGCGUCACGCAUCGGGUCGCCCCCUCCCACCCCUUCGCGAAAGCGGGUGGAUCCGAGGGGACGGACAUUGGCCUCCCGUGCUCUUCUUGUGCGGCCGGCUUAAAUUUGAG
RNAcentral lists this ribosomal RNA (155 nucleotides) under Episcia cupreata. RNAcentral describes it as "5.8S ribosomal RNA". The record is from RNAcentral. Lineage: Eukaryota; Viridiplantae; Streptophyta; Magnoliopsida; Lamiales; Gesneriaceae.